CCAGAUGACAUAAACCAGGAAGUCAGUGACUCUAUGUGUGACGAAACCCAGUGACUCAACCUGGGUUUUGUGCCACAUUAAAGAGCCUUGUCUCUAAGAUAUCCCCAGUGGGAACUGGCAUCUCUCCUCAAGGCAGUGGCCCUCCACUUCUCCGUGAGAUCUGACCCUACACACCCGCCCUCCUUUUUAACCUCUCCUAUUGUAAAUUCUCCCACCUGAGGUGGUCCUCUGCUCCCAGUUACUUCUCCUUUCCUGACUGCUCUCCUGGCCUCCCUAUACCCUGGGAGUGAAUGACAGUACGACUGGGCCCUAGGCCGCCUUCUGUCCCUCCUCAGAGAACUCCGCACUCAGCUGUAGUCUUCACUCUGUGCUGAUGACCACAUGUUCCAGAUGUUUUGUUUUUAAAGAUUUUAUUUAUUCAUGAAAGACAGAGAGAGAGAGAGAGAGAGAGAGAGAGGCAGAGACACAGGCAGAGGGAGAAGCAGGCUCCAUGCAGAGAGCCCGACGUGGGACUCAAUCCCGGGACCCCAGGAUCACGCCCUGGGCCGAAGGCAGCACUAAACCGCUGAGCCACCCGGGCUGCCCUGUUCCAGAUGUUUGAUCACAGGAUGAUGCAGCCUGAAUUACUGAGUACCUGGAGCAAAUUUCCCUGGAGACUUGCCUGGAUCCACAGUGGGUUCUGUAUGUUUGUUACAGCAGCAUCACCUGUUCUGAUUGAUACACAUUCCCACCUGCCAUCAAUCCUUUCCCAUUUACACUAUUAUAUAUGUAUGCAUAUACAUAUAUAUUUACUUUAUAUAUACAUAUAUAUACUUAAGCAUUUAAGAUUACUUGACAUAUUGUAUAUUUAUUUACUUGUUUGUAGAGGCCAUCAGUGCCACUCAUCAAAUAUUUUCACCUCUCUGCCUCUGGAUAUGUGGUAAGAUUGUGGUUGGGUCAGGCCGUGUUCUAGAGUUUUCCUUAUGCACAACAACUGGCCCCUUGAACUUAUUCUGGGUCCUAGAAUGUGGCAAAUAGACCCUAAGCUGGUCUCCGUGAUUUCUAAAACCUGGUGUUUAUGCCUUUGUAUAAUAGCCUCCUGUCCAGGGUGAGGAGACCUGUGACUUACUUGUAACCCAUAGAAUACAGUGAAGGUGAUGGGAUGUCACUCUCAUAAUUAUGUUACCUUGUAUAAGACUGUAUCUUGCUAGCAAACUAAUUCUCUCUCUCUCUCUCUCUCUCUCUCCCUCCCUCUCUCUCCCUGUUGCUGUCUUUGAAGAUGAAAGCUGUUCAUGAAGUAAGUAGCCACGUUGGAGAAGCCCAAGUAGCAACAAACUGCAGGUGGCCUAGUCUAGGAGCCAACAAUGACCCCAAGUAAGAAACUGAAACGCAGGAAAUGAAAUUGGUCAACCUAAAAAAAAAAAAAAAAAAAAAAAAAAAAAAAGAAAUUGGUCAACCUCAACCUAAACCUAAAACAUCAGGAAAUGAAUUUGGCCGAAACCAUGAGGGUGCUUGGAAUUGAAUUUUUUCCCAGUUUAGCCUGUGAUGAGAGCCCCAGUCAAAACCUGGACUUCAUCUGGAUGAGAGCCUGAGCAGACGACCCAGCGAAGCCACGUCUGCCAUGGUGGCCUCCCUUUCUACCUGACAAACUUCACGAGGUUAAAAUUCUCCUGAGCGAUAGAAGAGAUGAAGAGUCAGCCAGAAAUCAAAUAUGUGGAUGUUUGUGGUAAAUGUUAUAUCGUGAAGCGGCCUCCAUCUGCCAACUCUCAAGCUUCUGGACUCUUUUGGGUACAACUUGCGUAGAAUCAUGGCCCCCCAAAGCCCUGCCUUCUGGAUCGGCUUCCCGGACGGAGGGCUGUGUGCCAGGCAAGGGGCGGUUUCAGCACUAAAGGAAGUCUGGGCUCUCCACGGUCACUGUCAUCUCCUAGAACUGAAAUUUCAUUACGCAAGAGCAAAUAAUGCAGUCGUUCAUGGACAGCCUGGCACAGAACAGGCACCCGUCUCCGCUCCUGGCAUAGCCGGCGCCGGCCCAGUUGUGCAAGUCUCUGAAGCUUGAAGCAGAGCGAUUCUUCUUGUGUUUCUGAUUUUGUUUAUUUAUUCAUGAGAGACACACAGAGAGAGGCAGAGACACAGGCCGAGGGAGAGGCAGGCUUCCUGCAAGGAGCCCGAUGUGGAACUCGAUCCCGGGACCCCAGGAUCACACUCUGAGCCAAAGGCAGAUGCCCAACCAUCGAGCCACCCAGGUGCCCUAAUAUUUACAUUUCACAGUGUACGUGCUUUUUAUCAAAGAGGCUUAUUAAUCCAAGUGAACGCUGUCUAUAGCACAGUUUCCAUAGAGAAUUGUCGGCCAGCCCUUUGGAGAGGAAGAUGAUGGGGAUCGUCAGUGGUCUCCACUGGAUCAGGUCUGUCCCCGCCCUCUGGGUAUCAUGCCUCAGUGGGCCAGAGACUAGACAGGUUUGGGAGCUGAUUAUUUGAACAGUACUCGUUUAUCUGAAAACUUCCCCAACAAUCCGCUUAAGAUCAGAAACAAAUGCUUUUUAGGAAAAACAGUGGAGAAAAAAAAAUCUACCCAGAAGUCCACACCUAUUCAGGUUGUUUAAUUUCCUCUUUAAAUUUUUGUUCUUUGCCAGCACAGCUUUGAAGCUGUGUCAUUUCAUGUCUAAAAGGUCCUUGG
This is a long non-coding RNA of Canis lupus familiaris (dog), 2653 nucleotides long. RefSeq lists it as uncharacterized. Lineage: Eukaryota; Metazoa; Chordata; Mammalia; Carnivora; Canidae. The record is from RefSeq and is a predicted model, not a curated record. The transcript is spliced from 4 exons.